CCUACGGGAGGCAGCAGUGGGGAAUAUUGGACAAUGGGGGCAACCCUGAUCCAGCCAUGCCGCGUGUGUGAAGAAGGCCCUCGGGUUGUAAAGCACUUUCAGUGAGGAAGAACGCCUGGUGGUUUAUACCCAUCAGGAAAGACAUCACUCACAGAAGAAGCACCGGCUAACUCCGUGCCAGCAGCCGCGGUAAUACGGAGGGUGCGAGCGUUAAUCGGAAUUACUGGGCGUAAAGCGCGCGUAGGUGGCUUGAUAAGCCGGUUGUGAAAGCCCCGGGCUCAACCUGGGAACGGCAUCCGGAACUGUCAAGCUAGAGUGCAGGAGAGGAAGGUAGAAUUCCCGGUGUAGCGGUGAAAUGCGUAGAGAUCGGGAGGAAUACCAGUGGCGAAGGCGGCCUUCUGGACUGACACUGACACUGAGGUGCGAAAGCGUGGGUAGCAAACAGGAUUAGAUACCCUGGUAGUC
RNAcentral lists this ribosomal RNA (465 nucleotides) under Vreelandella stevensii. Its description in RNAcentral is "partial 16S ribosomal RNA". It matches the Rfam family "Bacterial small subunit ribosomal RNA", at positions 338 to 795 of the family's 1533-position model. Lineage: Bacteria; Pseudomonadati; Pseudomonadota; Gammaproteobacteria; Oceanospirillales; Halomonadaceae. The record is from RNAcentral.